GCCGGGUGCGGUGGUGCGUGCCUGUAAUCCCAGCAGCUUGGGAGCCUGAGACAGGAGGAUCAUGAGUUCAAAGCCAGCCUCAGCAAAAGCGAGGCACUAAGCAACUCGGUGAGACCCUGUCUCUA
Molecule: small RNA, 125 nt
Filed under: Marmota monax (woodchuck)
Lineage: Eukaryota; Metazoa; Chordata; Mammalia; Rodentia; Sciuridae
Source: RNAcentral